UAUGGAAAGUAUCUCGAUAGAGAACUGCGAAUCUUGUCAGGUCCGGAAGGAAGCAGCAAUAAACAGAACUCCUCUAUGUGGGAUGCUCUCCAUAGAG
RNAcentral lists this signal recognition particle RNA (97 nucleotides) under Clostridium sp. RNAcentral's name for it is "signal recognition particle sRNA small type". It matches the Rfam family "Bacterial small signal recognition particle RNA". Rfam says of the family: The signal recognition particle (SRP) is a universally conserved ribonucleoprotein involved in the co-translational targeting of proteins to membranes. Archaeal SRP consists of a 7S RNA and homologues of the eukaryotic SRP19 and SRP54 proteins. In most bacteria, the SRP consists of a 4.5S RNA and the Ffh protein (a homologue of the eukaryotic SRP54 protein). The record is from RNAcentral. RNAcentral also lists the same sequence under 1 other name. Lineage: Bacteria; Bacillati; Bacillota; Clostridia; Eubacteriales; Clostridiaceae.